UGUGUAAAAUGUAACAAAUUCAGUAGGCACUGGUCCCUAACAAUCAGCGCAUGUGACCAAAACAAGCCUAUCGGCAACUCGACCUGUUCAGGAGCGCUUCGCGGAUUGAGCUGGAUGGAUACGAGUGACAGAUAAGAUACAUUUUCUAAUAAUUAUUUACCAAGGACGCACCGAGCAAUAGCUAUAUUGUAAUGUAUUCGAUAAAAAAAUGACAUUAAACACGUAUAAUACGUUAAGAGGUGGUAAGGCUAAACGCGCUAAUCUACUAAAGUCAUAUUCAUAGAUAUGUUUGUUCCAUUAUUGUGUUAAGUAGAUGGCAGUGUUGGGGAAGCUAACGUUAUCUUGAAAACAUAGCUCACAAAGCUACCAAUUACUUAACACUGAAAGUUAAACUGCACCAAAGCUAUCCUUCACUACAUCCAAAAUACUUCGUGAAAAAAUGUCGUCUAAAAUGGCAUACACUACAAAUUGAAAGGAUAGAUCACUCUGGGGUCAUACGUUAACAUGAUGUGUAAUUGAACCUAUUAAACACAAAACGAUGUUUCAAGUGAGAUUUAGGCAGGCACGUCUGAUACCGAAAAAUAACUACCACCAAGCUACAUCCAAAUGUAGUUAAAUUAGUUGAUCUACAUGUAGUUCAAUACUCCUAACACUGGUAGAUGGGAGAGAAUACUGUACUAGAGCUUGUAAUAAAAAUACUCCACAUUCUAUAGCCAGCUGUUCAUCAAAUCACAUUAUCUAUAGGGAUACUUGGUGUAUCCAAUGGAUUUGAUUGAAAUCAUGAGGAGGCAUGAGUCUGUGGUUAACCAAGAUCACAUGCUUUGAAAUUGGUUGCAUCAUGCACAUCUUUUUUAUUAAGCUAACGAAUGCAAUGUAUUUGAAUUUAUUCUGGUAAGAAAAAUAUCUAUGUAAAAUAUAUGAAACUAUACUGGCUAUAGACAAGAGGGCAUGCACCUCUGAUCGGCUACAGCGCAAAUAGUGUCAAAGAGGCUCUGUGUCAAUUAUGGUAAAUGCAAAGUCGUCUGAUGCUCACAUCAGAGCAGAAAGCAUCUAUAGAUAUUUUUUUGCUAUUUAUCACUAACUCACAUCAAACUGAAUUAUGAGUCUCCCCCACCAGCCCACUAAUGAAUAUAUUCCCUGGGAAGUCAUCCUGUGUUUCCCAACUAGGGACUGUGGGUGGGAUGGCAGUGGCCUGGAGGGUCUUUCUGUGCAGCCAUGGUCGGUCUGUCCCCCUGAGCAAAAGACUGUUUGAGCUGCUUGGAUGCCCCCUGGUUAAGGAGAUUAUCUCUCUCUGCUUGGCUUGCAGUGACUGUGUGCAGGCUUGGCAUCACCCUGAUUUACCAUCCUCAAAGACCUCUGGAAUUCAGGUUUUCAUGGCCUAUAAAUCUUUUGUGUUUAAUUGACCUUUUAUAAGAUAACUAUAAGGAUAAUAAUUUGGUGGGUGCUUAUACUUGUCCUAUUUCACACAUGUACAAGUGUGUAUUAAUAAGCAUAUUUGAAUUAGAAAUAUUUUUUGCAUAUCCCCCUCUCCGUUAGACGCCCCCUAGGAGAGUGUGGUCAUGGCCAGGGUCUGACUUUAUCAACAGUGACCCUGGAGAAAUUAGGGUUACAGUGCCUUCUGAAAGUAUUCAGACCCCUUGACUUUUUCCACAGGUUUGCAAAUUACUUAAAAAUAAAAAACAGAAAUGUCACAUUUACAUAAGUAUUCAGACCCUUUACUCAGUACUUUGUUGAAGCAUAUUUGGCAGAGAUUACAGCCUCGAGUCUUCUGGGUUUCUCCCAUCGCUGCAGAGCUAUUUUCAGGUCUCUCCAGAGAUGUUUGAACAGGUUCAAGUCCGGGCUCUGGCUGGGCCAUUCAAGGACAUUCAGAGACUUGUCCCGAAGCCACUCUUGAGUUGUCUUGGCUGUGUGCUUAGGGUCGCUUGGCAUUCAGGCCAAAGAUUUCAAUCUUGGUUUCAUCAGACCAGAGAAUCUUGUUUCUCAUGGUCGGAGAGUCCUUUAGGUGCCUUUUGGAAAACUCCAAGUGGGCUGUCAUGUACCUUUUACUUAGGAGUGGCUUCCAUCUGGCCAGUCUACCAUAAAGAUCUGAUCGGUGGAGUGCUGCAGAGAUGGUUUUCCUUCUGGAAGGUUCUCCCAUCUCCACAGAGGAACUCUGGAGCUCUGUCAGAGUGUCCAUCGGGUUCUUGGUCACCUCCCUUACCAAGGCUCUUCUCCCCAAAUUGCUCAGUGUGGCCGGGCGGCCAGUUUAGGAAGAGUCUUGGUGGUUCCAAACUUCUUCCAUUUAAGAAUGAUGGAGGCCAUUGUGUUCUUGGGGACCUUCAGUGCUGCAGAAAUGUUUUGUACCCUUCCCCAGAUCUGUGCCUUGACACAAUCCUGUCUCGGAGCUCUACGGACAAUUCCUUUGACCUCAUGGCUUGGUUUUUGCUCUGGCAUGCACUGUCAACUGUGGGACCUUAUAUAGACAGGUGUGUGCCUUUCCAAAUCGUGUCUAAUUAAUUGAAUUUACCACAGGUGGACUCCAAUCAAGUUGUAGAAACAUCUCAAGGAUGAUCAAUGGAAACAAGAUGCACCUGAGCUCAAUUUCAAGUCUCAUACCAAAGGGCCUGAAUAAAUAAGAAGACUGCAGCCAAGGCAGCACACUGGUCCACACCUGCCCUGUCUGUCGGGUGAGUAGUAUUGUUUGGUACUGUAUGUGCCUUUAGGUUCCUAUCCAUAUGUAGGCUAUUGUACUGGCCUGAGUGGUAGUCUUUGAUGUGUAGUACUUUGUUUCUUAGUUUAUCAUGUGUCAACUUUGAAUUCAAUCUAAGCCACAGAUUGUUCACUUCUUGCACUUUGAGUGCAAGCAUCCCAAGUCUCCAGUGGUCCCAGUACAGGUAGAUGUGCUGAAGUGACCACACAAACUCAGAUGGACCUACAGCUGAGGUAAGAUUCUUCCAUCAUUCACACACAGUAGACAGUGUAAACCACCAUGCAGUCAACAAAAUGCUGUUCUCAAUUCUGAAAUUGUAUUAUGUUUGGCUCAAUCUGUGGAAAUGCUGUCAUCGUCUGUAAUGUGAUUCACAACACACGAUGACUAUGAUUUGAAUGCUGCAGCUGAGACAGAAUGACGUCGAGGGAAACACGCUGAGAACCCGAGUAUGACUGGGCAUGGGCCGGAUAUUUGUGACAACGACCUAGAAGGGGUACAGAAGCACACCAGCACUCCAUUUUAUUAUUAUUUAAUGGCCAACCAUCCCUCUAACUACCGCUUAUUCCACACUAUGCCUUUUAUGCCCCAUGGUCCCUCAACUUCUGACAUUUUGGAGUUCUCUAUCUUAUCUCUAUAAACCCACCCUACCUAUACCCAUUUUCCCUAUACUUCACUUGUUCUUCUCCUGAUUGGAUAAACUUCUAGUCUCAGUAGCACAUUUAAAACUGUUGUGUACUGUUUUUGAUACCUGUUUUUCACCUGUGUAAUGCGGUCCUCCUGCUCAUUCUGGUGACUGAAUACAGGGGUAAAUGUGCUGCUCACAGUUAACAGCAGAAACAUGGACCUAAAUUGACAAGAAGGGUGUUGAUAUAGCUGCAUUUUAGCAUGGCUUCCUUGUUUUGAGUCUGUUGACCUAGUAUUUUCUAUUAAACCUACCUUACACAUCCUGUUGUUUCUCUGAUCUUCACUUAAAAGUCAGAUGUUUAUAUAAUAUAUAUAAAUAUUUAUAUGCAUCGUUUACUAUUUUGAUUUCUUUAAAACAAUGUAAUUGUUGGAGUUCGGGUGUUUUACGUGAUUGAUGGGUGGCUUGGUGCAUUCCUGUCAAAUAAAUAUUCUUAUUCAUUCAU
Salvelinus fontinalis (brook trout) is the source of this 3816-nucleotide long non-coding RNA. RefSeq lists it as uncharacterized. Lineage: Eukaryota; Metazoa; Chordata; Actinopteri; Salmoniformes; Salmonidae. The transcript has 2 exons. The record is from RefSeq and is a predicted model, not a curated record.